Molecule: long non-coding RNA, 1003 nt
Filed under: Salmo salar (Atlantic salmon)
Lineage: Eukaryota; Metazoa; Chordata; Actinopteri; Salmoniformes; Salmonidae
Description: lncRNA (ENSSSAG00000082260.1)
Source: RNAcentral
GUCUGGAUGGUGGCCAUUGGCAUACUAUAAAUCUGUGCUGUUAUGUAAUAACCAUAUACCCCUAUGGGCCAAUGUCAGUCAAACUGCUGGUGAAUGGAUAUAACAUUGUGUAUAUUUGAUAAGACGGUACUGUAAGUGGAUAGUUCAAUACAUGUCUGUUCAAUACAGAGGCCCGGUCAAUAGUAAAACCCUAUACUGUCUGUAUGUCUGUUCAAUACAGAGGCCCGGUCAAUAGUAAAACCCUAUACUGUCUGUAUGUCUGUUCAAUACAGAGGCCCGGUCAAUAGUAAAACCCUAUACUGUCUGUAUGUCUGUUCAAUACAGAGGCCCGGUCAAUAGUAAAACCCUAUACUGUCUGUAUGUCUGUUCAAUACAGAGGUCCGGUCAAUAGUAAAACCCUAUACUGUCUGUAUGUCUGUUCAAUACAGAGGCCCGGUCAAUAGUAAAACCCUAUACUGUCUGUAUGUCCUACUUGAAAUACCCCCCAGGUCAUUAACAAAAUGACCUACUUGUUUUUUUUGAGAGUGGAGUCAGUGGGCUACCACAGAUGGACCACAGCCUGCUGGAGGAGGGUUCUAUAUGUCAUGUUGUGUGGCAUGUUGUGAGGCAUGACGUGCGGCAUGCUGUGUGGCAUGUUGUGAGGCAUGACGUGUGGCAUGUUGUGUGGCAUGUUGUGUAGCAUGUUGUGUGGCAUGUUGUGUGGCAUGUGGUGUGGCAUUAUGUGUGGCAUGGGGUGUGGCAUUACAUGUGGCAUGAUGUGUGGCAUGACGUGUGGCAUGACGUGUGGCAUGACGUGCAGCAUGACGUGUGGCAUGUGGUGUGGCAUGGGGUGUGGCAUGACGUGUGGCAUGACGUGCGGUAUGACGUGUAGCAUGAUAGGAACAUAGUGUGCCACUCGAAGCAUAAUCUUACAUGUUCCUCCCAUUCCUGUCAUUUUCCCAAUGGUGUCUGUGCACCACAUUCAGGCUGACUGCCCACUGGGUGCUGUUCUAUAAAUACUCUG